Molecule: long non-coding RNA, 2690 nt
Organism: Herpailurus yagouaroundi (jaguarundi)
Lineage: Eukaryota; Metazoa; Chordata; Mammalia; Carnivora; Felidae
Exons: 3
Source: RefSeq, a predicted model, not a curated record
UCGGACACAGGAGGGCCUGCUCUGUUUCUGGGCGUCAUGUUCCAGAGUGUGCCAGCCACGGGAGCGAAGAAAUCAGAUGAGUCUCGAGAGAGGACGGGAUUUUAUUGGUCGCUCACGCCUUAGCGCUACGAGGAGGUCGAGUCAAGUGGCAGCUGUCUGGUCUUCCUGCUCCCCUGCACACCUCACCGCCUGGGUGUUGCUCGUGACCUUGCCCUCCGGCCCCCCACCUCUCCACCUGCCUUCCGGAAGCCCGAAGUCCCCCUCUCCCUGACUCCUCUGUGCUGUGUGCCUGGCCGAGGGCGACUUACCACACGAGAUGGCCUGGAAAGUUGUUGGGACACCAAGGGACCUGCCUGGAAAUUCAUUAAUCUUGGCCUUUCGAGAAAACCUUCCACAGAAUUUAUUUGCAAGCUGAGAGGAGCCUCUGAGGAACAUGAAAGAUUUGGCCAUCAAAUGGAGAUCCUCUACAAAAGUACCUCCUACUCGAAAUAAUAUGUCAUACAAUGUGGGAAUUAAUUGAGAAGCAUCAUUUGCAACGACUAUGACUUCAACCCUACUCAAGCACCAGGAAGGCAUUUAAAGACAAGAAGCUUGCGGUGGGAGACAUGAGAUUAUAAUCUCAUGAAAUGCAAAACAACAUUUAAUUAAGCGAUAAAUCGGGUGGCACCGAUUCUGAAUUCCAAAGGAACGCACAGAAAAAGAUGCGAAGUCAAGGCAGGGUUCCUGAGGUUUCUGGAACCUGAAGUAUGAGUGGUGACUGCCUUAGGCUGGAGGCAGCACAGGAGCCAAGGUAUGGAUGGAGUAAUGAGUAGGGCAUGAUUCUCAGACGACAGGGCAAGGGGCCAGAGCAGAGAGUGGGGGAGGAGGGGGAGAGAGAAAGCUGGAUGGCAGGGUGGCGUCAGAUUGGGGGGGGGGGCCUGAGAUGCAAGCAAAGAAUUGAGAGUCAAUGUGAUAGAAAAUGGGGUCCAACUGAAGGUUUUGGAGUAGAAAAAUGCUUAACAUGGUUUCUAAGAUGAGCAUGUAUGUUUUUCUCAGAGCGGGAAAAGAAAGCAUCCUGAAAAUUUGCCAGUGAAAUGAUCUUUUCAUAGUUUCAAUGGCUUUUUUUGGUGAAGUGUAACUCUUCAUUACAAAAGGAAUGCAUGCUCAUAAUGGACAUAUAAAGAGAAGCCUAAGAAAGAAAAUGUAAAACAUUCAAAGCCCCAUUAACCUAGAACUAAAAACUGCAAGCAGCUUGGUCUAUAUUCUUUAAGACUCCCUUUUAAUGACUGCGAUGGAUUUCCACUGAAAUCCCUUCUCAAGCAAUAGGGUGAAGCUGGGAUAUGGCCACCCUCCUUGAACAGAACGUUUCCGUCUCCCCUGCCACGUGGUUGGCCUCGGAGGAAAGUCUCACCCACCGAGUGGGAGUGAAAGUGUCUGUCUCACUUCUGCCUCAGUGUCUGGCCCGGCACUUCAGCUAGAAAGGCAACAACUUUGAAAGUCAUGCAUUGAAGACAACCGAACUGUUAUCAGCCCGAGUCUCUGAAAGUCUUGGUGGAGGAGAGCUGUCUGCCCAUCUGGUUCGUCCAGCCUGAACUGUCACACGUGCAAAAACUAAACUGCCUUGAUUCACUCAUCAUAUUUUUGGUCCCUUUGUUACAGCAGCUGACGUUACACUAACACAUGUUUAUGCCUAUACAAGUGUGAUUAAAAAAAUAGAAUUGUACCAUACAUACUGUUUCACUUAACAAUACGUUGCAUCAACAGAUACCUUUUAAUAAUGUUUCAAUCUUAUUCUGAAAAUGUCAAAUCUAUAGAGCAGUCGAAAGAACGGUACAAAAAACAGCCCUUACUCUAUUUGCACGCUACGCUCUCUUGAGCCCGCUCUCACACAAGUAUGCACACACUCUCUCUCUAUAUAUAUUCUUUUUCUAAAGAAUUUCAAAGUCACUAGACUUCAUGAUAGUUCACCCCUAAAUACUUACACAUCCAUCUCUUAUCAAAAUAGACAUUCUCCUGCAAAGCCACAGUACCAGCCAUCUUACCUAAAAAAAUGUAAUAGUUCCGUGACAUUGUCUAAUACGUACAGCAUAUUCAAAUUGUCCCCCAAAUGUCUCUCCAGCUGUUUGUUUUGAUCUAUGAUCCAGUCAAGGUACUUAGAUUGCAUGCGGUUUUUAUGUCCCUUUACUCUUUGGUUUUCUGCCUUUUUGGCUUUUUCAUGUUUUUUACUGUUUUGGAGAGUCCCAGCCCCAUAGAAGGUCUUACGUUCUGAAUUUGAUUGUUUUCUCAUGAUAAAAUUCAGGUUAACCAUUUUGGGUAUGCAUAUUCUAUAGGUGGUGUGGUGUCCUUCUGUAUAACGUCACACUUCAGCACCUAACAAUGCUAUUGGUAAUGCUGUUUGAUCUCUAGCUAAGGUGGUGACUGCCAGAUGUCUUCAAUGUAAACUACAUUUCCCCCCAUUGUAAUUAGUAGGUAAUCUAUGAAUGAUUCUUUGACACUGAAUAGCCUAUUCAUAAACAACACUUUACCCAAUGAUUUUAGUGUCUCUUGAUGUACUUUCCCUGAAUUGAUAAUCAUUUGGGGGUAGUAGCAAAACAAUUUUUUUUCCCAAUUCUGUCAUUUCUCCUACAAUUAAUAACUGGCAUUCUUCUCUAGAGAAGAACAACAUUCCCCCCACCUUCUCUUUUAUUUAUGUACAUAUUUAAUUUAUUUAU